GAUGAACGCUGGCGGCGUGCCUAAUACAUGCAAGUCGAGCGAACGGACGAGAAGCUUGCUUCUCUGAUGUUAGCGGCGGACGGGUGAGUAACACGUGGAUAACCUACCUAUAAGACUGGGAUAACUUCGGGAAACCGGAGCUAAUACCGGAUAAUAUUUUGAACCGCAUGGUUCAAAAGUGAAAGUCGGUCUUGCUGUCACUUAUAGAUGGAUCCGCGCUGCAUUAGCUAGUUGGUAAGGUAACGGCUUACCAAGGCAACGAUGCAUAGCCGACCUGAGAGGGUGAUCGGCCACACUGGAACUGAGGCACGGUCCAGACUCCUACGGGAGGCGGCAGUAGGGAAUCUUCCGCAAAGGGCGAAAGCCUGACGGAGCAACGCCGCGUGAGUGAUGAAGGUCUUCGGAUCGUAAAACUCUGUUAUUAGGGAAGAACAUAUGUGUAAGUAACUGUGCACAUCUUGACGGUACCUAAUCAGAAAGCCACGGCUAACUACGUG
Molecule: ribosomal RNA, 497 nt
Filed under: uncultured bacterium
Lineage: Bacteria
Description: partial 16S ribosomal RNA
Rfam family: Bacterial small subunit ribosomal RNA
Source: RNAcentral